Molecule: long non-coding RNA, 222 nt
Organism: Actinia tenebrosa (Australian red waratah sea anemone)
Lineage: Eukaryota; Metazoa; Cnidaria; Anthozoa; Actiniaria; Actiniidae
Source: RefSeq, a predicted model, not a curated record
UUGGAGUUGUUUUUGUUCGUCUUUUGGUUUUUUCACUCUACAUUCAUAAUGGCUUUACAACCUUGUCAACAAAUAUCUUUAGAUAGCCCAGCAGAACAGGGUUUUCUGUCGUUCUAUCGCUCGCUUCCCGAGAAACUUGAAACAACAUUUCGCGUUUUUGACAGAUCGGUAAGAAUUUUUUUAAACUCAAGUUUAUGUAAACACAUUUUGAUUUGACUCGAC